AUUGAACGCUGGCGGCAUGCCUUACACAUGCAAGUCGAACGGUAACAGGUCUUCGGAUGCUGACGAGUGGCGAGCGGGUGAGUAAUACAUCGGAACGUGCCCAGUCGUGGGGGAUAACGAAGCGAAAGCUUUGCUAAUACCGCAUACGAUCUACGGAUGAAAGCGGGGGAUCGCAAGACCUCGCGCGAUUGGAGCGGCCAAUGGCAGAUUAGGUAGUUGGUGGGGUAAAGGCUUACCAAGCCUACGAUCUGUAGCUGGUCUGAGAGGACGACCAGCCACACUGGGACUGAGACACGGCCCAGACUCCUACGGGAGGCAGCAGUGGGGAAUUUUGGACAAUGGGCGCAAGCCUGAUCCAGCCAUGCCGCGUGCGGGAAGAAGGCCUUCGGAUUGUAAAGCCCUUUCGGUGGGGAAGAAAAGCCUCGACCUAACACGUCGGGGUGUUGACGUAACCCACAAAAGAAGCACCGGCUAACUCUGUGCCAGCCGCCGCCGUAA
RNAcentral lists this ribosomal RNA (498 nucleotides) under uncultured bacterium. Its description in RNAcentral is "partial 16S ribosomal RNA". It matches the Rfam family "Bacterial small subunit ribosomal RNA", at positions 30 to 523 of the family's 1533-position model. The record is from RNAcentral.